Molecule: ribosomal RNA, 254 nt
Filed under: uncultured bacterium
Lineage: Bacteria
Description: partial 16S ribosomal RNA
Rfam family: Bacterial small subunit ribosomal RNA
Source: RNAcentral
CGAAGGGGGCUAGCGUUGUUCGGAUUUACUGGGCGUAAAGCGCACGUAGGCGGCUUGUUAAGUCAGGGGUGAAAUCCCGGAGCUCAACUCCGGAACUGCCUUUGAUACUGGCAAGCUCGAGUGUGGAAGAGGUUGGUGGAACUGCGAGUGUAGAGGUGAAAUUCGUAGAUAUUCGCAAGAACACCAGUGGCGAAGGCGGCCAACUGGUCCAUUACUGACGCUGAGGUGCGAAAGCGUGGGGAGCAAACAGGAUU